RNAcentral lists this ribosomal RNA (538 nucleotides) under uncultured bacterium. RNAcentral describes it as "bacterial SSU rRNA". It matches the Rfam family "Bacterial small subunit ribosomal RNA", at positions 358 to 916 of the family's 1533-position model. The record is from RNAcentral.
GGAAUCUUGCACAAUGGAGGAAACUCUGAUGCAGCGAUGCCGCGUGAGUGAAGAAGGCCUUUGGGUUGUAAAGCUCUUUUGUAGGGGAAGAUAAUGACUGUACCCUAAGAAUAAGGUCCGGCUAACUUCGUGCCAGCAGCCGCGGUAAUACGAAGGGACCUAGCGUAGUUCGGAAUUACUAGGCGUAAAGCGCGCGUAGGCCGUUGAGUUAGUUAAUUGUGAAAUCCCAAAGCUUAACUUUGGAACUGCAAUUAAAACUGCUCGACUAGAGUUUGAUAGAGGAAAGCGGAAUACAUAGUGUAGAGGUGAAAUUCGUAGAUAUUAUGUAGAACACCAGUUGCGAAGGCGGCUUUCUGGAUCAACACUGACGCUGAGGCGCGAAAGUAUGGGUAGCAAAGAGGAUUAGAUACCCUCGUAGUCCAUACCAUAAACGAUGAUUGCUAGAUGUUGGAAAUUUAUUUUCAGUAUCGCAGCUAACGCAUUAAGCAAUCCGCCUGGGGAGUACGACCGCAAGGUUAAAACUCAAAUGAAUUGACGG